GGGGCGGAUCAGAUGGCUGCCGGACGCCGCGCGCGUCCGGAGGAAAGUCCGGCCACCACAAGGCAGGAAUGCGGGUAACGCCCGCCGGAGGCGACUCCAGGGGCAGGCAACAGAGAACAGACCGCCGCGGUCCGCCGCGGCAAGGGUGAAACGGCGGGGUAAGAGCCCACCGCGUUUGCGGCAACGCAAACGGCACGGCGACUGUCCUUCCGGUGCAAGCGCAAAUAGGGGGCGAGACGGGCUUCGGCCCGGCGCGGGACCGCCUGUUCCGCCACAAGCCCCGGGUAGCGUGCUCGAGGCGGACGGCGACGUCCGUCCCAGACAAAUAGCCAUCCGCGACAGAAGCCGGCUUAUCGAUCCGCCCCGCUU
Molecule: RNase P RNA, 369 nt
Filed under: Planctomycetota bacterium
Lineage: Bacteria; Pseudomonadati; Planctomycetota
Description: RNase P RNA component class A
Rfam family: Bacterial RNase P class A
About the family: Ribonuclease P (RNase P) is a ubiquitous endoribonuclease, found in archaea, bacteria and eukarya as well as chloroplasts and mitochondria. Its best characterised activity is the generation of mature 5'-ends of tRNAs by cleaving the 5'-leader elements of precursor-tRNAs.
Source: RNAcentral